This 279-nucleotide ribosomal RNA is filed under the name uncultured bacterium. RNAcentral's name for it is "partial 16S ribosomal RNA". It matches the Rfam family "Bacterial small subunit ribosomal RNA", at positions 506 to 784 of the family's 1533-position model. The record is from RNAcentral.
UGCCAGCCGCCGCGGUAAUACGGAGGGUGCGAGCGUUAAUCGGAAUAACUGGGCGUAAAGGGUGCGUAGGCGGUGAUGUAAGUGGGAAGUGAAAGCCCCGGGCUUAACCUGGGAAGUGCUUUCCAAACUGCAUGACUAGAGUAUGGUAGAGGAGUGUGGAAUUUCCUGUGUAGCGGUGAAAUGCGUAGAUAUAGGAAGGAACAUCGGUGGCGAAGGCGGCACUCUGGAUUAAUACUGACGCUGAGGUACGAAAGCGUGGGGAGCGAACAGGAUUAGAUA